Molecule: ribosomal RNA, 301 nt
Filed under: uncultured bacterium
Lineage: Bacteria
Description: partial 16S ribosomal RNA
Rfam family: Bacterial small subunit ribosomal RNA
Source: RNAcentral
CAGUCGCCGCGGUAAUACGGAAGGUCCGGGCGUUAUCCGGAUUUAUUGGGUUUAAAGGGAGCGUAGGCCGUGGAUUAAGUGUGUUGUGAAAUGCAGGUGCUCAACGUCUGCACUGCAGCGCGAACUGGUCCACUUGAGUGUGCGCAACGCAGGCGGAAUUCGUCGUGUAACAGUGAAAUGCUUAGAUAUGACGAGGAACUCCGAUUGCGAAGGCAGCUUGCGGGAGCACAACUGACGCUGAAGCUCGAAAGUGCGGGUAUCGAACAGGAUUAGAUACCCGAGUAGUCCCUGUCUCUUAUAC